Molecule: ribosomal RNA, 520 nt
Filed under: uncultured Glomus
Lineage: Eukaryota; Fungi; Glomeromycota; Glomeromycetes; Glomerales; Glomeraceae
Description: SSU rRNA
Rfam family: Eukaryotic small subunit ribosomal RNA
Source: RNAcentral
AGCAGCCGCGGUAAUUCCAGCUCCAAUAGCGUAUAUUAAAGUUGUUGCAGUUAAAAAGCUCGUAGUUGAAUUUCGGGAUCAAUGCGUCGGUCGUGCUUUCGGGUACGUACUGGUGUCAUUGGUUUCUCCUUUCUGACGAGCCGUGAUGUCAUUAAUUUGGUGUUACGGGUAGUUAGGACUGUUACUUUGAAAAAGUUAGAGUGUUUAAAGCAGGCAUUCGCUUGAAUACAUUAGCAUGGAAUAAUGAAAUAGGACGUUUGACCCUAUUUUGUUGGUUUCUAGGAUCAACGUAAUGAUUAAUAGGGAUAGUUGGGGGCAUUAGUAUUCAAUUGUCAGAGGUGAAAUUCUUGGAUUUAUUGAAGACUAACUACUGCGAAAGCAUUUGCCAAGGAUGUUUUCAUUAAUCAAGAACGAAAGUUAGGGGAUCGAAGACGAUCAGAUACCGUCGUAGUCUUAACCAUAAACUAUGCCGACUAGGGAUCGGAUGAUGUUAAUUUUUAAUGACUCAUUCGGCGCCUUA